RNAcentral lists this ribosomal RNA (1207 nucleotides) under Bacillus sp. (in: firmicutes). RNAcentral describes it as "bacterial SSU rRNA". It matches the Rfam family "Bacterial small subunit ribosomal RNA", at positions 145 to 1338 of the family's 1533-position model. The record is from RNAcentral. Lineage: Bacteria; Bacillati; Bacillota; Bacilli; Caryophanales; Bacillaceae.
ANCUNCCGGAAACCGGGGCUAAUACCGGAUGGUUGUUUGAACCGCAUGGUUCAGACAUAAAAGGUGGCUUCGGCUACCACUUACAGAUGGACCCGCGGCGCAUUAGCUAGUUGGUGAGGUAACGGCUCACCAAGGCGACGAUGCGUAGCCGACCUGAGAGGGUGAUCGGCCACACUGGGACUGAGACACGGCCCANACUCCUACGGGAGGCAGCAGUAGGGAAUCUUCCGCAAUGGACGAAAGUCUGACGGAGCAACGCCGCGUGAGUGAUGAAGGUUUUCGGAUCGUAAAGCUCUGUUGUUAGGGAAGAACAAGUGCCGUUCAAAUAGGGCGGCACCUUGACGGUACCUAACCAGAAAGCCACGGCUAACUACGUGCCAGCAGCCGCGGUAAUACGUAGGUGGCAAGCGUUGUCCGGAAUUAUUGGGCGUAAAGGGCUCGCAGGCGGUUUCUUAAGUCUGAUGUGAAAGCCCCCGGCUCAACCGGGGAGGGUCAUUGGAAACUGGGGAACUUGAGUGCAGAAGAGGAGAGUGGAAUUCCACGUGUAGCGGUGAAAUGCGUAGAGAUGUGGAGGAACACCAGUGGCGAAGGCGACUCUCUGGUCUGUAACUGACGCUGAGGAGCGAAAGCGUGGGGAGCGAACAGGAUUAGAUACCCUGGUAGUCCACGCCGUAAACGAUGAGUGCUAAGUGUUAGGGGGUUUCCGCCCCUUAGUGCUGCAGCUAACGCAUUAAGCACUCCGCCUGGGGAGUACGGUCGCAAGACUGAAACUCAAAGGAAUUGACGGGGGCCCGCACAAGCGGUGGAGCAUGUGGUUUAAUUCGAAGCAACGCGAAGAACCUUACCAGGUCUUGACAUCCUCUGACAAUCCUAGAGAUAGGACGUCCCCUUCGGGGGCAGAGUGACAGGUGGUGCAUGGUUGUCGUCAGCUCGUGUCGUGAGAUGUUGGGUUAAGUCCCGCAACGAGCGCAACCCUUGAUCUUAGUUGCCAGCAUUCAGUUGGGCACUCUAAGGUGACUGCCGGUGACAAACCGGAGGAAGGUGGGGAUGACGUCAAAUCAUCAUGCCCCUUAUGACCUGGGCUACACACGUGCUACAAUGGACAGAACAAAGGGCAGCGAAACCGCGAGGUUAAGCCAAUCCCACAAAUCUGUUCUCAGUUCGGAUCGCAGUCUGCAACUCGACUGCGUGAAGCUGGAAUCGCUNG